Long non-coding RNA from Brassica rapa (field mustard), 2989 nucleotides. RefSeq lists it as uncharacterized. Lineage: Eukaryota; Viridiplantae; Streptophyta; Magnoliopsida; Brassicales; Brassicaceae. The record is from RefSeq and is a predicted model, not a curated record.
UGAUUCACUUCUGGGAGGCUCGAAAUCCACUCACGAAUGGACGUACGUUUGAGAGAGCAUUAACAAAUUUGAAUUGAUAUUAUGUAAAUAUUAUCUACUGUUUUGUAGACGAAUUGAGUAUCAUUCAUUCGUUACCUGUUUGAGAUGGCAAUGCAAUAAGAGAAUUGAUUUCCCUGUCAUUUUCUCAGGACACUAUAUGUUUAUCUUUGAUUGAUUACCUCCCAAGCUUAAAUUUUUGUGUUGCUUUUUAGGCUAUGCUCAUGGUGAUUACUUCUAACUGAUUGAGUUCUCUAUGGUUUCUCUUUUUUUUGUAUGGAAAUAAUCGACAUAUAUUAGCCUACGAUUUGAGAAACCAGCAAAAGGUGCGCUUCUCCAUUGUACUUUAUAUGCUUUCAAUAUUGUAAUAGGGUAUGUGCUGGACAAGAUAAUCUAACUUGUCUAUUAAUCUAUCUUGCAUGUUCAGUUGCUAUUCUCCUCGAUUCCGGAGAGCUUCUCGCCGUUAAACAGGUUAACUUAUUAACUCCAUUUUGGAUUUUAGAAACUGUAGUCCUUCUUUGCAGUUUGAUUUUUAUUUUAUUUUCUCUGUGGAGUUUGAUUCCUAUGAUGAGUUUUUGGUAGUCAAUGGGAUAUCCAAGCUCAUUCGUUCUACAUAUGUAGUAAAACGCAUCACCUUAUUCCGUUUGAUUUCUCCAUAAUUAUAUUUUUUUUAGAGUUUACUCUAACAGUAUUUUUGUUGUUGAAUUGACUAGAUUUUAGUUGUUCUUACGAGGUUCUGACUGCAUCCAAGAAAAAAAGUCAAGUUUUCGGAUAAACUAACAUGUUUCUUUUUUACUAUUGUGCUAUGACUUAUUUUCCAUCACAUGAUCUUAGUCGUUUCUUUAUGUACGGUGAGCUGAUUGAUUCAUGACUAUCCUACUUUGGUUCACAUGAUCUUAGUCGUACACAGGUCGCACACAAUAUACAUCGUUUACAUGACAUCUAGCUUACAUCUUCAGGUUUAGUUAACAUGCUUCCCUGAAGUACUAAGUCUGCGUGUGGUUAGAGAAAAUGUUCAUUCUCUGUGUUGUUGACUACUUCCUGCUAUUCUGAGAUAUCUAAUUUUAGGAACUGUGGAUCUAAUUUAAUAUAUACAACUUUAUUUGUCUUUGGUACAGAGCGGAGGAAGAAGCUUGGUAUAGGAAAACCCUUUCUCUUAACCCUUAGUUUUCUCUGUAUCAAACUUUAAAAACAUUUUAUUAUGUGACGAAUGUCAUGAUAAAAAUCUAUGACUUUGUGUAGUGGUAUUAAUUUUUAUUCAAUUUUCUCUAUAUCUUUUGCUAUUUUCAUCUGUGGAAAGGUGGAAGCUAUAAGGUUGCAAAAUGACAUUUAACUGUUAACGUCCGACUGUGACAGACCCGCAUGCAUAAGUGUAUUCGACAACCUUGCGGAGCUCCAGUGAGGAAUUAGUAAUGUCAGGUGUGGAACAAAAGGUUGCUGUAGGCACCAAUAUCAACCCUAAAUUAGUUGGAGGUAACCAUUUCUAACACUCAUCUGUUAUUUUAAGCCAUUUUUUUUUUCUAAAUGCUACACCAGGAACACUUUUCUUUUUUGACCAUGAGAGUGUAGCCAGCCAAAGUUAUCUCACAAAGUAAGGAUUAUAGCCUUUGUUACUGUGAAUACAUGUCGUCAUGUUAUAAAUCAUGUACAUAGUUAGUCACCACAAGGUUGGUCUCGGUAGGAAGGUUCAUUGUCAACGUCUACGAAAUAUGGUGGUGUUAAGAAGAUCGAAACGUUAACACUGUCUUAGCUAAAUGCUUAUAUCAUAUCGCCCCACAGGUGACCACUUUCACGUAACCCAUAUGUUUGUGUGUUUCUUGACCGACAAUUACUUUCAUUUUCUUGGUGCCAUAUCCAAAGUGUUCCUGAGAUAAAGUGCAGACGAGGAAAGAAAGCUUUCUUAUUACAUGGUAUCUCACCAGAAUCAAUCAAUUUGUUUCUACUGUGAGUAUCUCCAAAUACAGAAUGUAAUGUCUUUUAAAAAAAAAAGAUUCAAACACAGAAAUAGUAAUCAGAUCGAUAUAGCUUUACAUCAAACAAAUUCAGGACAUAGAUCAAAAUGUUGUCUCAGUUCAGACUCAUGCAUGUUGUUUCUUUAAUCAGGUAUUGCAAUGAGGACAGCAAGAUGAUCGAUGUGUAUGAGUAUAGGGAAAAGGGAACGCUUAAGGACCAUCGGAAUGACUCGGAUAACCCUAGGUUGAGCUGGAGACAGAAGCUUGAGAUAUGCGCUAAAGGGCUUCACUAUCUCCAUACAGGUUCCGCAAGAGCCACUAUACACUUCGUUUGAAGUCUGCUUCAGGCCAUUGAAGCUCUCGACCCGAACCACAAACUGGGUACUGGAACCACAAGAAGCAAAAUCAAUCUGAAUAGAAAGACAACUUCAUAUCAUCAAACUGUUCCGUGAGUUUAACCAAAGGAAAAAUAUUCAGACAAUAUUUGAUGUAAUAAAAGCUCAAAGAGCAACUCCGAGACAACAAGAGUGAAUACCUUUUGGAUAGAUAGAGAAAGUUUCUUGCUUUCAUUUUUUGUUGUUGCAUUUAUUCAUAAUCUUUUGUUCUUUUUAUUCUCUGCAAAAUUUUCAGUAAACAAAUAACCUACCUUAGCGUUAUAAACCUAUAACUAGGAACAAUAAAUGUUUGAUUCUUUCGCUAAUGCUGUGUUUUGAAAAACUGAGAUACAAGUUUAUUAUGUAACAACUUCCUUGGUUAGGGUUGUGUGGGGACCAUAUUAUCUCAUUUGUCGUGCUCUUGGCUGGAGGUUGGGAUAAUGCUUCUUUCUUGGUAAUGCAGUUGCUGGAGCUAAAUACCCUAGACUCGGGGGAACACACAGUCCAAGUGUUGUUGGAGGAAAAUUAAAAAAAAAAACCUCAGUGUCUAUCCGAUUCAGCUGGAGCACAUAUAUCUAAAAAACAUGGCAAGACUCAAACUCCCAAGAAGUUGCAACCUCCAAAACA